RNAcentral lists this long non-coding RNA (2265 nucleotides) under Homo sapiens (human). RNAcentral's name for it is "non-protein coding lnc-ABCA5-11:1". The record is from RNAcentral. Lineage: Eukaryota; Metazoa; Chordata; Mammalia; Primates; Hominidae.
GGGAGAUCAAGGCUGCAGUGAACAGUGAUCAUGCCACUGCAGUCCAGCCUUGGCAACACAACGCGAUCCCAUCUCAAAAAUAAAAUAAAAUAAAAUAAAAUAGAAAUAGCCCUAUUAGAUUUUAGUAUUACUUAACUACAUGUCCAUAAUAGUGAAUUUUGAAAGCAUGAAAAGUAAAUUUUAAAAUCGAAUUUUAGUUCUAAAGGGGAGGCAUGAGAAUGGGAUGAAGUAUAAUCAAAGGUCCAUAUGAUUUCAAAUUAAAAAGCAGAUAUAGAGAUACAAUUAUUUUCUUGUUAAAUGUGUCCAACCUAGUUCCUUCAAGGGAACUACACACACGGUGGGAGUCUGAGAGUUAGAAAACACUGUUCAUAAAUCGAGAGCUACUGUGUGACUCUGCUCUUUUCUUCUGCCAAAAAAUAAAUAAAUAAAUAAAUAAAUAAAUAAAUAAAUAAAUAGAGGGCAAUUAUGUAUUCAUGAUGCAGGUUUGCCUAAAUAGCUGUCCCCAGCUAUUUAGGCAUAACCUCAAGCUACAUAUUCAUAACCUCCAACACCUCAUGUAGAUAUCCCUACAAGCAGUAUAGUAUAGUGGUGUUUUUUAAAGUGUAGUCAACUAUUUUCUUUCAGAUUCUAAGAGAACAUCUUGCACUUGUAGAUUCUUGAGUUUCACCCCAAUCCUGAUUUGAUUGGUCCUCAAUUGAUUCUUAUGCAUUUUGAAGAUUGAGACCUUAAGUUUCAAAAAUUGAGACCUAGAUUCUGAUACAUAAGGAUUUAAGUUUAAGUACCUGCUUGAUUGCUAGUAAGACUGUGCACGUUUGCACCAACUAAUCGACGUCUUUGAGCCUCUGUUUGCCCAUCUGAAAAUGCACAUCAGUGGAUUGCUAUGAGGAUAAAAAGAAGCUGUGUUUCUAAACCUCCUUUCAUACUAGGUGGUAUUGUUUAGUUUUUAAUCACAGUGCAUGUAGCUAUGACUACAGUCUUAGCCAAACCAAAUAACGAAUGGAAAGUGGAAUUAUCUUAUGUAGAUUAAUAUCAUCUUUCAAGUGUAGACCCAAAUGGGGAGAGAGUUAACUGGCAUUUUUUUCCCCCGCCAUUAAUUAUAAAAUUGGCAAUUUCCCAGACUUGUUUCAGAAUUCUGUUUUAGCAUCUAAUUGCCUUGACCUUUUGUCUUCAGACACCCUUUGGAAUGAAGCCAAAGUGUUUUAACACAAAAGGAAAAACAAUCCAGUGUGGGUGAUGUCACAGGGCAUCCUGAGGAAAGCAGCAAGCAUGAAGCUUCCUACUGCGUGGAUCCAAAGUACACAGGAUUAUCUUGGCAUUAAUUCCUUCUGCAGCCAGAAGCUGGACUCUUACUGAAGAACUAGCUCUCAUCAUAAAGACUGGAUGCCGGAAAUGAGUUUGUGUGUGUGUGUGUGUGUGCGCGCACGAAGUGUGUAGGUGUGUAAGUCUGGUUCCUGACCUGAGAGAGAUCAACAUUCCAGUCUCCUCGUAGGCUCUAGGUUGUCUGUGAAAUCACUGUGAAGGACCAAAGGCUGUUUUCACUGGGUAGACAGAAAAUCGUCCUGUUCACUUCAAGGACACUAUCAAGCUGUGAUCAGAACAUUUGCCUUUUAAUAUAAUAAUGGUGAUUAUUAGAUAUGGGAAGGAUAGGGGUACAGAAGAGUGACCCAAAACAAAAAAACCCUUUAUGUCAGUGGCAGCCCUGCAUUAAUGAAAUGAAGAGACAUUCACACCAUAACAGGUGACGAUGGAGAGUCUGUUUGUCAUGUCAAAUUAGAGAUAAAAGAAUGCCUGAGACUGGGAAGCAGAAAAGCACAUUUCCAUCUUCGUGUCUGGAGAAACUUUACAGGAUUAAAGUAUGUAUUGUCAUCACAAUGGAGAACUGUUUAAGUAGAAGCAGUGCCUUCCCCUUUGAAGAGGGUAUAUCUCCUGACAUUGUAGGUGCAGAUGGCCAGGUUUCUGGGUCUUUUAGCCUUGGGAGAUCCUUGCUGAUGGAAUACAGCUUUCACAGCUCCAUGCUAGCAGAUUGUGGGGCUGGGAGCUGAGAGGAUCAUCCCAGUGGCAGGGAGCAGUUAUUUAGGGAGAAGAUAGUAAAUCUUCAACUAAGUAUUAUUAGAUCUGACACAUGUGGAUUCAAAGGCAAUGUAGUGGCCAGACUUCUAAGGUCGAAAGCCAAGAGUUUAGGAUUGCCCACUGGAGUGUGGCAUUUUCUGUUCUUGGGACGCAUCCAGCUAUGACUGUGAAAGGACGGAAAUUCAGUUGAGCUGC